GAGCUCAGUCGGUAGAGCACGAGACUUUUAAUCUUAGGGUUGUGGGUUCAAGCCCCACGUUGGAUU
Podarcis lilfordi (Lilford's wall lizard) is the source of this 66-nucleotide non-coding RNA. The record is from the annotation of a GenBank genome assembly. Lineage: Eukaryota; Metazoa; Chordata; Lepidosauria; Squamata; Lacertidae.